RNAcentral lists this ribosomal RNA (363 nucleotides) under uncultured Porphyrobacter sp. Its description in RNAcentral is "bacterial SSU rRNA". It matches the Rfam family "Bacterial small subunit ribosomal RNA", at positions 1016 to 1382 of the family's 1533-position model. Lineage: Bacteria; Pseudomonadati; Pseudomonadota; Alphaproteobacteria; Sphingomonadales; Erythrobacteraceae. The record is from RNAcentral.
CCAGCAAUGGUCUCUGUGUAGGUGCUGCAUGGUUGUCGUCAGCUCGUGCCGUGAGGUGUCGGCUUAAGUGCCAUAACGAGCGCAACCCUCGUCCUUAGUUGCCAUCAUUAAGUUGGGCACUUUAAGGAAACUGCCGGUGAUAAGCCGGAGGAAGGUGGGGAUGACGUCAAGUCCUCAUGGCCCUUACAGGCUGGGCUACACACGUGCUACAAUGGCAUCUACAGUGGGCAGCUAUUCCGCAAGGAUGCGCUAAUCUCCAAAAGAUGUCUCAGUUCGGAUUGUCCUCUGCAACUCGAGGGCAUGAAGGCGGAAUCGCUAGUAAUCGCGGAUCAGCAUGCCGCGGUGAAUACGUUCCCAGGCCUU